GGAGGGUGCAAGCGUUAAUCGGAAUUACUGGGCGUAAAGCGCGCGUAGGUGGAUAUUUAAGUCGGAUGUGAAAGCCCCGGGCUCAACCUGGGAACUGCAUUCGAUACUGGGUAUCUAGAGUAUGGUAGAGGGAAGUGGAAUUUCUGGUGUAGCGGUGAAAUGCGUAGAUAUCAGAAAGAACAUCAGUGGCGAAGGCGACUUCCUGGACCAAUACUGACACUGAGGUGCGAAAGCGUGGGGAGCAAACAGGGAUUAGAGACCCUGGUAGUCCACGCCGUAAACGAUGAGAACUAGACGUUGGGAUCCAUUGGGUCUUAGUGUCGAAGCUAACGCGUUAAGUUCUCCGCCUGGGGAUACGGCCGCAAGGUUA
This 370-nucleotide ribosomal RNA is filed under the name uncultured organism. Its description in RNAcentral is "partial 16S ribosomal RNA". It matches the Rfam family "Bacterial small subunit ribosomal RNA", at positions 527 to 896 of the family's 1533-position model. The record is from RNAcentral.